Molecule: unclassified non-coding RNA, 2762 nt
Filed under: Orbicella faveolata
Lineage: Eukaryota; Metazoa; Cnidaria; Anthozoa; Scleractinia; Merulinidae
Description: cAS1 domain-containing protein 1-like, transcript variant X2
Source: RNAcentral
UGGUGCGAAACUUUUCGGGCCGGGACCAAUUGCCGGGACCUAGAAACGGCCCCAGUCCAGGGCACUUCUCCUCACCGUGGACUGAAAGACCCUGGUGACGACAUUUCUUAAAAAGAUGGCGGCGGAUUCGGAGCGGACCGGCGCGACUUUGCAUCUUUCUGAUAUUGAGAAAAACCCCAAAGAAAUGGACGAACGCGGAAAAGAAGCCUCAAAACAACAGCCUACGACUUCCAGGACAGAAAUAUGUUGUAAAACCCUGGCUUUUCUCAUUGUGUUGUGUUUGGUGUGUGUUCAUCUGGCACGGGUUAUUCGAGAAGGAUCUAGUACUUGCCCUGGAAUGUUUCAGUCUGGUCGAUGGAGGGGAAGCUUUUGGCAACCUCAUGGCUGUAUGAUGCAUUCAUAUACAUCAAGUGAAAUGAGGACUUGUUUACACAAUCACCCUGUGGCCUUUAUAGGAGAUUCCAGAACAAGAACUUUGUACUAUGAACUGGUAAAGACGGUUAGCUUGCAUUCAGUUACGGAAGAAGAAAAACCUCACCAUGAUUUGUUUUAUCGUGACAAGACAAGCAAUACAAGUGUGUCAUUCUACUGGCAACCAAUGGUCAAUCUAUCUAUGAAGGGAUUGUAUGAUGAUUGGACCAAGAAUCCAAACAAAUGCCCUCAUCUCAUUAUUAGUGGAAGUGGAACAUGGACUAUAAAACACCAAGGACUAGAUGCAGUCAUGAAUUAUGGAUAUAAUUUAACAAAGGUCAAAGGGUCAAUGGAGGCGUUAGUGGCCAAAAAAAGAAAUGAAAGCCAAAUGCUGCUCAAGAAAACAAGUCCUUUUCCACCUUCUCCAGUAAUUGUCUGGGUUCAGCAAGAGCCAGUUGUGGAAUCAAAGCUCCAUGAGGCACGCAAAAUGAUUACAAAUGAAAAGAUUGAACUAUUUAAUUCUAUUGCUGGAGAAAUGUUCCAGGAAGAAAACUCCUCUGUGACUGUGAUGUGGACAUCAUUUCAUGCAGCUGAGAAAAAGCCUGAGAUAUCAACAGAUGGACUUCACUAUGGACCAUCAAUAACAAGCCUGGAGCUGAAUUUGAUAUUGAAUUAUUACUGUAAUCAAUAUCUUCAAGUAUCUGAUGCUACCUGUUGUGUGCCAGCACCGAGACUAACACAUCUGCAGCGGAACACAUUUGCAGUUUUUAUCACAUGCAUUGUGCUGUUUUUGAUUAUGUUUGUCUGUCAACAUCUGUGGCCGGCAGAACCCAAAGGAUCUGGUGGUGCUGAACCAACCACGCCUGGAGGCCGUCCCAGCUCCUCAUUACGCUGGGUCUAUUCAGACAGGAUGUACCCUGUUAUGAAGAGUUUGUUCAAAAUGGGCCUCAUAAUGUUUUACUUUUACCUCUGUGACAGGACAAACUUGUUUUUCAAAGAACAGAAAGAAUACAGUCAUCUCGUUUUCAUGUUAGUCCUGAUUGUUUUCUUGGCACUUGGUGCGUGGACCUGGGUACCAGCUCAGCAGACUGUCGUGUUAAACAGAGAUCAGACAAAUGAGUGGAAGGGCUGGAUGCAGUUGGUUAUUCUCUUGUAUCAUUAUAUUGGAGCAAGCAAGGUUCUUCCAAUCUACGUGUUCAUAAGACUUCUUGUAGCUUCGUAUCUUUUCCUUUCUGGUUAUGGACAUUUCUCAUUCUUUUGGAAUAAAGGAGAUUUCGGACUGUACAGAUUUUGUCAGGUUAUGACAAGAAUGAAUAUCCUUGUAGCUGUUCUUUGCCUGAUCAUGGGUCGUGCGUAUCAGUUUUAUUACUUUGUUCCUCUGGUAUCGUUUUGGUUUGUUGUGAUUUAUGCUGUUAUAGCAGUUUGGCCCAGAGUCACUGCUGCUCUUGUUAAAGAAAACCACAUGCAUUACGUUGUAGUAUUGCUGAAGUUAUUCUUUCUCUUUGGUGUAAUUUCUAUGAUCUGGAGUUCACCAAUGUUAUGCCAGUGGAUAUUUUCCCAAUGGGCAAUAAAAGAAUUAUUUAUUGAUGAAAAUGACAGUGUUCGUGAAUGGUGGUUCCGGUCUUGGCUGGACAGAUAUAUUGCGCUUUUUGGAAUGGUGUUAGCCUUUGCAUACUACACUGCUAAAAAUUUCAAAAUGUUCGACGACAGCAACAAAAGAACUUUGUUCUCCAGACCUGUAGGCGUUGCCUGUCUUAUCUUUGCUAUUGUGGCUCUUCUGGUAAGAUAAAACAAACCGAAAAAAAAGCGAAAAAAGUAACAAAAAAAAGAAGAUAAAUCAGAACCAUAUUUUCUUGAUCUUAGAGAACUAAAUAAAGAAAGAAAUGGAAACUCAUCAAAUCUGUAUUUAACCUUCGACGGAUACAAGUAGCUGGUGUCAAACGCGGGGAAACACAGGCGCAAAAAGACUUGUUACAAGUGCGGGGUAAAAAAUGUAGGAAAGCGCGGCUAAACGUGUAAUGGGCGCCGAGCACGAGGAAAGGUAUAACGGGUGCCAAGCGCGGCAUAACGUAUAACGGGUGCCAAGCUUGGGGUAACGUAACCGGUGCCAAUACGCGGGAAAUCGUCUUAUCGGUGCCAAGCGCGGGAAAACAUAUAACGGGUGCCAAGCGCGGGAAAACUUUGCCUUCGCUCCUGAUUGGUCAGUGCACGUUGAAAAAGUGAAGUUACUAAGUUUUAUUUUUGUCUUUUGCAGAGUUACGCUAUUCAGGCUUUGACGUGUAGAUCAAAAGUCUCUUGUAACGAGACACAUUCAACAGUAUCAUUUAUACCUAUAUUAGCCUUUUUACUCC